UUAGCGAACAAACAGGUUCAUACUGGGCACUGGCACCAAACAGGGGCCUAUUUGGCCCGCAGGCAGGUUUUAACAGGAAACUCCGACACAGAAAUGGGUCUAAACAGGGGACCCGUUUGGUAGUUAAACCAGUUAAACUGGCUCAUAGUGGUCCCACUUGCACCAAAAAGGUCUACUUGUAGCUGUCAUGCUCGAUUUAAUGCUUGAACUAUUUACGGUAAAAUUCGAUUUGAAAUUGGUACACACGAGCGAGCGCUCCGCAACACCCCAACGACAGCCGCUUCGCGUCGGCGCCGGGGCACAACCAACGGCGCUGCCAAGCACAGAGAAAAAAAAAGAAAGAAAAGGUUAAUAAAUAAGAAGAAAAAAAAAAAAAACAACAAAUAAGCCAAAACGGGAUUUGAACCCGCGUACCGCAGAUCUCAUGGCAAGCGUCGUAACCACUCGGCCACGCAGCCCCGCAGAUCCGGCGAUUGCUGUCCUCACUAUUGAAAGGAAUGUGGCUGGAACCCGCCGUAUAAGAUGCAUGAUAUCGAAAUACUACCACAGAACACCCAUACAAACUACCACAUACUACGCCGUCACGAUACAUGCGGUCACCAAAGGGCCGAAAGUGGGCAAAAGCACGAAAGCAUGGUCGCUUUCGGUGCCCCCAGGAGGCGCUGCCACUGCCCCAGGGGCAUGACCGUGCUGUUGCUGCCUGUUGCUGUGUGUGCGCGCUGCAUUGAGGCAGGUCGAUGUGGAUGUUUAAUCGUGUGUACGCUGUGCCGAGAGAAAAUGUCGUGCCCCUUGUGUGCUUUGAUGAUCACCUAACCCCUGGGACCGCGUAACGUAGCUCGCAGUAGCUUUUGCGUGGUUCGCCGAUGUCGAUUAUCGUAGUUAUGGCCCGCUUGCGCUUUCUUUGUUCCCGGCCUCUGAUAAUAUCGCAUCGGAUCACAGUGCACGGAACAAUUUGUUGAGCUAUUACGUGCUGUAGUUCAUCCGCAAUUCAACAGUGUUUACGUCGGAAGGAUGGUCGUGCAGUCGACGCCGCGACCUGACAUGAAGGAGCGUUUGCCGACUACGCCUAGAAAGGGAUGUCAAGAUUUCGUGAACCAGAGGCACCGCAUAGGAACCUAAGACAUUUCUGCAGCCGGAACAGCACGGCAAAGCAUCUGAUCUGCAUGCUGCGACAAGGUAUGGCUGGGCCUGGUGAUGAAGUGUAAGCAGAACAUGCUAUGCUGCGAAUUGGUGCCAAUCUUCACAUCCGAGUUGUUCCCACGACAGUCAAGCACCACUGUGAUUUGCUUCAUUGGCAAGGUAAUAUACUAUGGUGCCCUGCAAGCUCUCACCAAAGCAACACAUUCCACUGGUUUUCUGUCAGAGUACCAUUAUAGAAUUUCGAAUAAACUAUGCUUGUCAGAUGUG
This is a long non-coding RNA of Dermacentor silvarum, 1407 nucleotides long. RefSeq lists it as uncharacterized. NCBI's taxonomy places the organism in Eukaryota, Metazoa, Arthropoda, Arachnida, Ixodida, Ixodidae. The transcript has 4 exons. The record is from RefSeq and is a predicted model, not a curated record.